AAAAAUAGCCAGGACAGGAGUUUUGAGUAAAAAAAAAGGCAGGAUGAGACACUUGCAAAAAAAAAAGUCAGGACGACAAUUUAGGUAAAAAAAGUCAGGAUAAACUAAAAAAAAAAAAAAGCAGGACCGAACAGAGUGAAAAAUAAAAAGGCAGGACAGAGAUUACAGCUAAAAAAAAAUGCAGGACAAAAUUUUUCAUCCUAGCCCCCCCAUAAAAAUCAAAUGGUAGCUCCCUAAUAUAAUCAAAGUGAUGGAAAUCACUCAUGGAAAGAUUAGAAGAGUAGUUUGAAUUAUUUCAUAUUAAGGUACGGUGGGGAAAAAUGAACAUUUAUAAAGCACUAUUGCUGAAAAUUGCAUUUACAGCAGGUCUUUAGAAGGAAACUUGCUUUUCCAGUAUGAGGAUAAAAUGAGCUCAAAUUAAAUAAUAUGGGUCUCUUAAUUUGCACAAUUUUAUUUAAACUGCAGUUUAUGUCUUAUCGAAAAUUAUGUUGCCGGUUCUGAACAUG
RNAcentral lists this long non-coding RNA (506 nucleotides) under Mytilus galloprovincialis (Mediterranean mussel). The record is from RNAcentral. Lineage: Eukaryota; Metazoa; Mollusca; Bivalvia; Mytilida; Mytilidae.